Molecule: ribosomal RNA, 478 nt
Filed under: uncultured bacterium
Lineage: Bacteria
Description: bacterial SSU rRNA
Rfam family: Bacterial small subunit ribosomal RNA
Source: RNAcentral
AUUGAACGCUGGCGGCAGGCCUAACACAUGCAAGUCGAGCGGUAGAGAGGUGCUUGCAUCUCUUGAGAGCGGCGGACGGGUGAGUAAUGCCUAGGAAUCUGCCUAGUGGUGGGGGAUAACGUUCGGAAACGGACGCUAAUACCGCAUACGUCCUACGGGAGAAAGCGGGGGGAUCUUCGGACCUCGCGCCAUUAGAUGAGCCUAGGUCGGAUUAGCUAGUUGGUGAGGUAAUGGCUCACCAAGGCGACGAUCCGUAACUGGUCUGAGAGGAUGAUCAGUCACACUGGAACUGAGACACGGUCCAGACUCCUACGGGAGGCAGCAGUGGGGAAUAUUGGACAAUGGGCGAAAGCCUGAUCCAGCCAUGCCGCGUGUGUGAAGAAGGUCUUCGGAUUGUAAAGCACUUAAGUUGGAGGAAGGGUUGUAGAUUAAUACUCUGCAAUUUUGACGUUACCGACAGAAUAAGCACCGGCUAACU